This is a long non-coding RNA of Beta vulgaris subsp. vulgaris (sugar beet), 615 nucleotides long. RefSeq lists it as uncharacterized. The transcript is spliced from 4 exons. NCBI's taxonomy places the organism in Eukaryota, Viridiplantae, Streptophyta, Magnoliopsida, Caryophyllales, Amaranthaceae. The record is from RefSeq and is a predicted model, not a curated record.
GCUUACCCUAAGUAUUUGGUCCCAUACCUUGAAGAGUAUGUUUUAGUACCUAGUUGAUAAUGUCUUUUCAUAAUACUAUUUUGGCUAACUAUUGUUGGUAUACAUAUGAUUGUCGAACUUAAUUUUUUGUUGUAGUCUCCAUUGGAUGCUCUUGGUAAUAUCUCCUUCAACUCACACAAUAUACCAUUUUGAUUCUAUGCGUCAAGAACCACCCCGAGGCUUACUAAUCAAAAGCAUAUUGAAUAGUGUGAUGAAAAGAUUACGUGGAUGUGGUCCAAAAAGAGCCACACUUCCUCAAUGGAAAUCAGUGAAGUGCACAUAACAACAAGACGGAGUUGCUUGCGGCUAUUACGUGAUGAGGUUUAUGUUCGAUAUACUUGUUGCAUGGAAGUCAAUGAUCUUGAGAAGGUUUACAACACACCAAGGGAGGAGUCAUUUGCUGUUGAGGAAAUCAAUGAAGUUCGAGACAAGUUUGCUUCCUUUGUUACCGAUUGUGGUCUAUGAAUUUAAUUUCUAAAUACGUUGUAAACGCGUACUUUAAAUCUAUGGUAAUGUUUUGUAACUCAAUUCUACACUGUAUAUAUAUAUAAUAAUAGUACGUAUUUUAAUUUAGAA